CCUGUUGCAUUCAAGCCCUUCUGAAGCAUGUCUCCAGCAGUGCGCCAUCAUUAGCAUAAUAACUGCCUUCAUCUGAAUAAAGCAGCUACUGAAUUGUGGGAAAUCUUCAAAGGAGGGAUCAAGCUUUGAAGGGGUUUCAACCUUGUGACAUCUUCUCUUGGAGAACAUGAUUUCCUAUAUCAGGGAUUCUGAUCACACAGAAAACCUUAUGACAUCGAUCAAAAUGCUCAGAGAGGUGAUGAGAUUCUAUGAUAUAAUGUACCAUUAUCAGAGCGGUGUCAGGUGAAAAAUUAUUCUUCAGAUAUUUGAUGGUACAUUGAGAUUUCAGGAUUUUAGGGGUCGACUGAUGUGAUGUAUGUAGCUUAACCUUAAUAACAACACAAACUGCACAUGGCAGUGUGUUUCUUGAUUAUUUACUGGGGACAUGUGAAGCUCAGUCUCAGCAGGUGUUUAUUAGGCUUCGUCCCUGACUGACAGAUUAAAAGAGAUCCACAAAUAAAUCCCCCCACAAUUUCCAGAGCACCAUGGAAAAGCUCCAAAACAAUCAAUUUAUGCAGCAUUCUGCAGUUUGUUGAUUUGUAGGAAGAGGAUUAAAAGGUACUUUGAGCAGCGAACACAAAGAUUGUGAUAAAGCCAGUAGGCACUUUUAAUCAAGCUAGGCUUCCUGAAAGUAUACAGGAGGCAUAGUCUGGAAACUUUGGAAAGUACUGCGUGCCAUUUUAAGAGAAGGACUGGUACUGUGAUUGUGUGCCUCUGAUGCUCUGCAUAUUUAUGAAACACACGCAGACUAAGAAGGCCUUUUAUUAUUUAUUUCAGAUUAAAUGCUCGAAUACAGUCACAUGCAAGUGGAUUUAAAGUAUAGGUUGUGCAUGUAUGUACUGGCAUAUUUAGGAUGGGACUUAAAGACACCGUAAUUUAAAGGUGAUGAAUACAAGAUUUGAUUUUAUUCUCGUACUCAGUUUAUUGUACAGUACAUUGACUACUAUACAUAUACCAUUAAUGGGUUUCCCCCAAAAGGGUAAACAUUAA
Carassius carassius (crucian carp) is the source of this 1029-nucleotide long non-coding RNA. RefSeq lists it as uncharacterized. The record is from RefSeq and is a predicted model, not a curated record. NCBI's taxonomy places the organism in Eukaryota, Metazoa, Chordata, Actinopteri, Cypriniformes, Cyprinidae. The transcript is spliced from 2 exons.